AAUCUCAACAUUGUUAGAAUUGGAUUUUGGAUUCAUAAAACAAGUUGGAUGUGAAUAAGUUAAUAUACCUAGAAGGCUCAUUAAUAUGCUGUGGUCAAAUUAGUAUUGAGUCUUGGUACACUUUGUUUUAUUGGACUUAUUCCAUAGUCUGAUGUGAGGUAAAAUGUAAGGUUUUAAACCUGAUCUAUGAUGGAUGGAUAUUAACCGUAUAUAAUAUAAGGUUAGGUCUCCUAUCCACUCCUAACAUUAGACAAAACCCUAGAUCUCAUCCUUUUAGAGAUUAUGCUGACUUGCCCCAUCGAAAGCCUAUGAAGAGGAAGAUUUGUCUGGGCCGUGUGUCGAGUGUGCACGUGCGUGUCUAUUGCUAUUCAUAAUCUAUCCAGGUUUGCUCAAGGUAAGUGAUGCUCUUUGGAGAGAAGCCACUGCAACUUUGCUCACUGUUAAGUGUACUUUACAGCUGAAAUAUCCCGACAUUGUUUUGGAUUAUGAAGCUAUUAACGUUUUGAAUCCCCUCAAAAACUCUAGAGCAUCUCAUACUCAAUGUAGCCAAUUUUGCAAAAUAAUGUGUUUUUGGAACACUUCUUUGUAGCUCCAAAUAAUGUAAAUUUUGUUUGUGCUCCUCCAAAUCUAGUCCAAGGAGCUUUUCCUUUUGUAAUAAUUUUGGGAAUAUUAGCAUCUCAGAUCUUCCUGCCCAGGUGCUGAGAUCUGAAGGAAAGGUUAAGGGCCCAGGUCCUGUUUUGUUUCUUGUCAAUAAAA
Quercus robur (English oak) is the source of this 756-nucleotide long non-coding RNA. RefSeq lists it as uncharacterized. The transcript is spliced from 2 exons. The record is from RefSeq and is a predicted model, not a curated record. NCBI's taxonomy places the organism in Eukaryota, Viridiplantae, Streptophyta, Magnoliopsida, Fagales, Fagaceae.